RNAcentral lists this transfer RNA (70 nucleotides) under Murexia melanurus (Black-tailed dasyure). RNAcentral's name for it is "Murexechinus melanurus (Black-tailed dasyure) tRNA-His". It matches the Rfam family "tRNA". Rfam says of the family: Transfer RNA (tRNA) molecules are approximately 80 nucleotides in length. The record is from RNAcentral. Lineage: Eukaryota; Metazoa; Chordata; Mammalia; Dasyuromorphia; Dasyuridae.
GCAAAUAUAGUUUAAUCAAAAACAUUAGAUUGUGAAUCUAAACAUAGGAGUUCAAGCCCCCUUAUAUGCC